AUUGAACGCUGGCGGCAGGCCUAACACAUGCAAGUCGAACGAGUGGCGGACGGGUGAGUAAUGUCUGGGAAACUGCCUGAUGGAGGGGGAUAACUACUGGAAACGGUAGCUAAUACCGCAUACCAUCAGAUGUGCCCAGAUGGGAUUAGCUAGUAGGUGGGGUAACGGCUCACCUAGGCGACGAUCCCUAGCUGGUCUGAGAGGAUGACCAGCCACACUGGAACUGAGACACGGUCCAGACUCCUACUUUGCACAUCAGUUUAUAAUAUUGCACAAUGGGCGCAAGCCUGAUUCAGCCAUGCCGCGUGUAUGAAGAAGGCCUUCGGGGUGUAAAGUACUUUCAGCCGGGAGGCGUUACCCGCAGAAGAAGCACCGGCUAACUCCGUGCCAGCAGCCGCGGUAAUAC
Molecule: ribosomal RNA, 406 nt
Filed under: uncultured bacterium
Lineage: Bacteria
Description: partial 16S ribosomal RNA
Rfam family: Bacterial small subunit ribosomal RNA
Source: RNAcentral